Molecule: ribosomal RNA, 497 nt
Filed under: uncultured bacterium
Lineage: Bacteria
Description: partial 16S ribosomal RNA
Rfam family: Bacterial small subunit ribosomal RNA
Source: RNAcentral
GAUGAACGCUGGCGGCGUGCCUAAUACAUGCAAGUCGAGCGAACAGACGAGGAGCUUGCUCCUCUGACGUUAGCGGCGGACGGGUGAGUAACACGUGGAUAACCUACCUAUAAGACUGGGAUAACUUCGGGAAACCGGAGCUAAUACCGGAUAAUAUAUUGAACCGCAUGGUUCAAUAGUGAAAGACGGUUUUGCUGUCACUUAUAGAUGGAUCCGCGCCGCAUUAGCUAGUUGGUAAGGUAACGGCUUACCAAGGCGACGAUGCGUAGCCGACCUGAGAGGGUGAUCGGCCACACUGGAACUGAGACACGGUCCAGACUCCUACGGGAGGCAGCAGUAGGGAAUCUGCCGCAGUGGGCGAAAGCCUGACGGAGCAACGCCGCGUGAGUGAUGGAGGUCUUCGGAUCGUAAAACUCGGUUAUUGGGGAAGAACAAAUGUGUAAGUAACUAUGCACUUCUUGACGGUACCUAGUCAGGAAGCCACGGCUAACUACGUG